GGAAUUUGAGAAUAUAGACUACUGUGCCCGGCGUCGUCACUGCCUCUCUCCUUCGACUCUUCUCACUUACCCACGUGGGUCCUUCCUGGUUCCGAUCACAGGAGUGGUCACGACAGAAUCUCUCACUGAACCUGGUGUUCAUGGAUUCAGCUAGACUGAUUGGCCAGCAAGCCUCAGGGACCUGUCUAUUUCCACCUUCCAAGCCCCAGGUUUAUAAGUUGAUUUAACAUGAUGGGUUCCGGAGAUGCCAGCACAGAAGGACAGCAUCUCCUCCUUGCUUGGAUUCCAAACAGGCAGCUAACAGCUCCGAUGUCAGCAUCUGAAGCAUUGAGGCUGCUGGAUGCUCUGCUCAGAGAUGCUAACAGGUCUGGCUCCUGGGCAGAGGCCUUGGAGGAGAAGAUGCCUUCCCCACGUUCAGCAUUUCCUGGGCAUCUGUUAUGCUCUUGGAGAAGUUUCCGUCUCUAUUAUCAGAGCUUCCAAGAGUAAAGGUAUCAGCUCUGUAGCCAGAGAAGUGGGAUCCCAACUUGACCAGUUCUUGAGAAGACAGGCAUACCGGAGUGCUACUCCAAUGCGGAGCAUGGAAUGGAGGAAACCUUUUUAGAAUCAUUGAAAUGGGCCUUCAAGGAUGGACUGAAAUGAGCCAAAUGGAGAAUGUUAUCCAGGGAAGUGAAGGAGCAUCCACAGAAGGUUUCAUGCAAAGUAGGGACUUGAGUGCGACCAGCAGGAAGGGGCAUCUUAAGGACUGGUAGGAAGCAAGAAAGCAGGAGUGAGGGCUGGGGAGACAGCUUAGCAGUUAAGAGCACUGGCCACUCUAGCAGAACACUAGAGUUCAGUUCCCAGCACCCACAUGGUGUCUCACAACCAAAUGUUACUUCAGUUCCAGAGGUUCCUACACCCUUGUCUGGCCUCCACAGGCACCAGACCUGCACUCGGUGCACAGAUACACAUGCAG
This is a long non-coding RNA of Peromyscus eremicus (cactus mouse), 952 nucleotides long. RefSeq lists it as uncharacterized. The transcript is spliced from 3 exons. Lineage: Eukaryota; Metazoa; Chordata; Mammalia; Rodentia; Cricetidae. The record is from RefSeq and is a predicted model, not a curated record.